This 512-nucleotide ribosomal RNA is filed under the name uncultured bacterium. RNAcentral's name for it is "bacterial SSU rRNA". It matches the Rfam family "Bacterial small subunit ribosomal RNA", at positions 17 to 518 of the family's 1533-position model. The record is from RNAcentral.
UUCUGGCUCAGGAUGAACGCUAGCUACAGGCUUAACACAUGCAAGUCGAGGGGCAGCAUGAUCUAAGCUGCUUAGAUUGAUGGCGACCGGCGCACGGGUGAGUAACGCGUAUCCAACCUUCCCUAUAGUAGAGGAUAGCCCGGCGAAAGUCGGAUUAAUACUCUAUGUUUUCCAAUGCAGACAUCUAAAAUGGAAUAAAGGUUUACCGCUAUAGGAUGGGGAUGCGUCUGAUUAGGUUGUUGGCGGGGUAACGGCCCACCAAGCCUACGAUCAGUAGGGGUUCUGAGAGGAAGGUCCCCCACAUUGGAACUGAGACACGGUCCAAACUCCUACGGGAGGCAGCAGUGAGGAAUAUUGGUCAAUGGGCGAGAGCCUGAACCAGCCAAGUAGCGUGCCAGGAUGACGGCCCUAUGGGUUGUAAACUGCUUUUAUAUGGGGAUAAAGUUCACCACGUGUGGUGUUUUGCAGGUACCAUAUGAAUAAGGACCGGCUAAUUCCGUGCCAGCCGCGGC